UGUAAAGAAAUAAUUAUGAAGUCCAUCCUUCAAAAAUAUAUGUUCUUCUUCUUGUCUUCGCUAGUAUCACUUUCUUUGCCUGACGCGAAUAAAGUGGAGAUCUCACCAAGAGAACAAGCAGCACUUGGUCAGGAAACCCAUUAAGAGGUUUGUCUUUUAAUCUUAUCAUAGUUUCUCUCUUAAGCUUUUCAAAUUGAAAAUUUAACCAACAAUGCAAGAACUGUUUUAUGUUUGUAAUUUUAAAUUUUCAAAACAACUUGUAUUCUGUUUGGUUUUGGUUUUGGUUUCACGGAAAAGAUUUAGGCUAGAAUUUUAAUCCUCAGAUACGUGUUUUUAAAAUAUUCAAUGUUGGUUGGAUUUUUUAGUUUCUGAAGCAGUUGACAACUUGUAUGACCCACCACCUGUUUGAUGUUUUUCCC
RNAcentral lists this long non-coding RNA (419 nucleotides) under Gossypium barbadense (sea-island cotton). Its description in RNAcentral is "long non-coding RNA (GBAR_LNC022597)". The record is from RNAcentral. Lineage: Eukaryota; Viridiplantae; Streptophyta; Magnoliopsida; Malvales; Malvaceae.